UAGGGAAUCUUCCGCAAUGGACGAAAGUCUGACGGAGCAACGCCGCGUGAGUGAUGAAGGUUUUCGGAUCGUAAAACUCUGUUGUUAGGGAAGAACAAGUACGAGAGUAACUGCUCGUACCUUGACGGUACCUAACCAGAAAGCCACGGCUAACUACGUGCCAGCAGCCGCGGUAAUACGUAGGUGGCAAGCGUUGUCCGGAAUUAUUGGGCGUAAAGCGCGCGCAGGCGGUCCUUUAAGUCUGAUGUGAAAGCCCACGGCUCAACCGUGGAGGGUCAUUGGAAACUGGGGGACUUGAGUGCAGGAGAGAAGAGUGGAAUUCCACGUGUAGCGGUGAAAUGCGUAGAGAUGUGGAGGAACACCAGUGGCGAAGGCGACUCUUUGGCCUGUAACUGACGCUGAGGCGCGAAAGCGUGGGGAGCAAACA
Molecule: ribosomal RNA, 427 nt
Filed under: uncultured bacterium
Lineage: Bacteria
Also listed under: 2 other names
Description: bacterial SSU rRNA
Rfam family: Bacterial small subunit ribosomal RNA
Source: RNAcentral